AAUUGUCACUAGAUUUGAUUUUACAUCCAACUUUUGUUUCUCCAGGUCACUUUUAAACUAUAAAAUUUGUUAUAAAGUACUUUAUGCACCAUGUGCAGGCAGUUCUGUCAUGUUUUUAAAUUUGUGUUUGAUAAAUGGUAUCACUUCCAUUUUACAUUUAUGCAAACCCCUUGUGUCUUAAGAUUUUCUGUAAUUUUAUAACAGGCAUGAGAGAGCUGUUUGUGUAAAAUGAGUUCAGAACUGUAUUUUAAUCCUGUUUGCUAAAAUUCAUUUGAUUUUGUCUUUAUAAAUUUGAAGGGGGAACUAAUUUUUCUUUCAUCAGUGCACUCAUUCUAUGAUGUCUACCCUGGGAUCUGCUCCCUCCCCCAGUCCUUCUCAAUACUUCAGUUUGCUUCUUCAGGGCUGCUGCCCUCAAAGUGAAACAGUGUAUAGUCUGUCAGGUUUUGGAGGGGAAACUUUUAUGGUCAAGUUGGACAGAAGUUAUCAUGCUAGAUAUCACUGGAAACUUUUGGCUGUGUAUUGAGCUUACUGCAUGAGAAAAGGUUAAUAUCCUCGAAGGUAUAGCAAAGGGAAUAAAAUUACCUUCUGCUUGAGGUAAAUUUGAAAGAAGAACAAAGGAAAAAUAGAAAUUUCUUUAGCAGAAUAUACAUAAUUCACAGUUUUAUUGAUUCAUUUAUUUCAAAGGUGAGACUUAUA
Long non-coding RNA from Ochotona curzoniae (black-lipped pika), 696 nucleotides. RefSeq lists it as uncharacterized. The transcript has 3 exons. The record is from RefSeq and is a predicted model, not a curated record. NCBI's taxonomy places the organism in Eukaryota, Metazoa, Chordata, Mammalia, Lagomorpha, Ochotonidae.